Molecule: ribosomal RNA, 274 nt
Filed under: uncultured bacterium
Lineage: Bacteria
Description: partial 16S ribosomal RNA
Rfam family: Bacterial small subunit ribosomal RNA
Source: RNAcentral
CCCUUGUCUUUAGUUGCUACGAAAGGGCACUCUAGAGAGACUGCCGGUGACAAACCGGAGGAAGGUGGGGAUGACGUCAAGUCCUCAUGGCCCUUAUGGGUAGGGCUUCACACGUCAUACAAUGGUGCGUACAGAGGGUUGCCAACCCGCGAGGGGGAGCCAAUCCCAGAAAACGCAUCGUAGUCCGGAUCGUAGUCUGCAACUCGACUACGUGAAGCUGGAAUCGCUAGUAAUCGCGGAUCAGCAUGCCGCGGUGAAUACGUUCCCGGGUCUU